UACGUAGGGGGCAAGCGUUGUCCGGAUUUACUGGGCGUAAAGAGCGUGUAGGCGGCCAAACAGGUCCGUUGUGAAAACUCGAGGCUUAACCUCGAGAUGUCAUCGGAAACCAUUUGGCUAGAGUCCGGAAGAGGAAAGUGGAAUUCCUGGUGUAGCGGUGAAAUGCGCAGAUAUCAGGAAGAACACCAAUGGCGAAAGCAGCUUUCUGGGACGGUACUGACGCUGAGACGCGAAAGCGUGGGGAGCGAACAGG
Molecule: ribosomal RNA, 253 nt
Filed under: uncultured bacterium
Lineage: Bacteria
Description: partial 16S ribosomal RNA
Rfam family: Bacterial small subunit ribosomal RNA
Source: RNAcentral